RNAcentral lists this ribosomal RNA (2339 nucleotides) under Valettiopsis sp. DZMB 2021_0091. RNAcentral's name for it is "partial 18S small subunit ribosomal RNA". It matches the Rfam family "Eukaryotic small subunit ribosomal RNA". The record is from RNAcentral. Lineage: Eukaryota; Metazoa; Arthropoda; Malacostraca; Amphipoda; Valettiopsidae.
CGAGACCGCGGACGGCUCAUUAAAUCAGUCGUGGUCCAUAUGGGCCAGUGUUGAUCUUACUUGGACAACUGUGGUAAUUCCAGAGCUAAUACAUGCAACUCUUAUCCUGAAGGAACGCUUUAUUGUUGUUCUCUGACGGAUGCUUUUAUUAGACCAAACUGCUGGGUGCGUGGUGUAUCACUUAUGUGUUCCCACGUUCGACUCGUGUGAUGGUGACUCUGAAUAACAUUUUUUUUGACAAGCGCAAGUACCCCUCUUAUGAGUUGGGACGGCGCUACCACUUUCGAGUGUCUGACUUAUCAGCUAUCAACCGUUCGUUAUGUGCGACCGAUGGCGUUGACGGGUAACGGGGAAUCAGAGUUCGAUUCCGGAGAGGCAGCCUGAGAGACGGCUACCACGUCCAAGGACGGCAGCAGGCACGCAAAUUACCCAAUCCCAGCACCUGGGGGAGGUAGUGACGAAAUCUAACGAUGCGGGCGCCCUUUCUGGGGCCCCGCAAUCGGAAUGGCCACUUUCUAAAAAACCUGUUGAGAACCUAUUGAAGGGCAAGUCUGGUGCCAGCAGCCGCGGUAAUUCCAGCUUCAAUAGCAUCUAUUAAAGUUGCUGCGGUUAAAAGGCUCGCAGUUGAAUGUCAGUACCGAGCGCAGGUCAGGUGGACGCUGGGGCGUGGGAACACAAGGCGUGUCGCUAAUCUUCAUCUCAUGCGCGUUCUGUGGUUUGCGCUGGUCGUGUGUCGUCUUCGGUCGAGCGCGCUGGUGUGGGCCCUUAGCGUUUGUGUGUGUUUGCGGGUUGCGUUCGCGUCUCUCACAAGCCCCCGUCCGUGACAAGCCUCCUCGCUUGUGUACAUAUCUGGAAUCGGCACAUACAAUGGAGUGUGCACGUGCAGUUCUGCUCAUCUUUCCCUCUGCUUGUUGUUCUACACAUGUGCGUGGUGUGUCACUAACGUGCGCGUCGCGUGUGUGUCCCUGGGUUUCGAGUAUUGGAUCGCUCUGAGUUUGUGGCUCGCACGGGUACGUCAAAAGCUCCUUCGGUUUUAAAGUCACCUUGAGUAAAUCAGAGUGCUCAAAGCAGUCGUGAGGGCCUUGUGCCCUGUGAACAGUCUUGACGGACUGACUUGGUUUUGCAUGGCAUGUCGGAAGACGACGUCGUGUGCUGGCUCAGAGAUAUAAUCAGUGGUGCAAGCCAGCCUUGACGUACUGAUCAAGAGGAUCGGUCGAGGGCAUUGGUAUUGCGGGGCGAGAGGUGAAAUUCUAUGACCCCCGCAAGACCUCCUGAAGCGAAAGCGUCUGCCAAGGACGUUCUCACUAAUCAUGAACGAAAGUUAGAGGAUCGAAGGCGAUCAGAUACCGCCCUAGUUCUAACCGUAAACGAUGCCAACCAUCAAUCCGCGCGUAGCACCCUUCUUAACGGGCUCGGCGGGCAGCUCCCCACUCACGGGAAACCAGAGUCUCUGGGUUCCGGGGGGAGUCUGGUUGCAAAGCUGAAACUUAAAGGAAUUGACGGAAAGGCACCACCAGGCGUGGAGCCUGCGGCUUAAUUUGACUCAACACGGGCCAUCUCACCAGGCCAGCACUCUUGUACGAUUGACAGAUUGAGAGCUCUUUCUCGAUUCAGUGGAUGGUGGUGCAUGGCCGUUCUUAGUUGGUGGAGUGAUCUGUCUGGUUAAUUCCGAUAACGAACGAGACUCUCCCCUGCUAACUAGUCGGUUGGAUCUUGUUCGGUGAGUCGUGUGCCGGGAACACCCGUGGGGUGGCGGCAGGUGUUGGGUGGUGGCAGUUUUUGGUUGGAAGCGCGCACGGGGUUCUUGUGUUUGUGGUUUACGCUGCAAGCGCUCCUCCGUGUUUAAUGCGUCUCUCCUUCCUUGGCUGUUGUUAUCUGCCCUGUUUAGUCUAUCUCUCGCGGGCCUCGGGCCACACACUCCAAGUCCGCCGCUUAUGCUAUAACUCUUCUUAGAGGGAUUCACGGUACUGAAGCCGUAAGAAACUGAGAGCAAUAACAGGUCUGUGAUGCCCUUAGAUGCUCUGGGCCGCACGCGCGCUACAAUGCCGGGCACAGCAGGUAGUUCUCCUGCUCCGACAGGAGCGGGUAACCCUCUGAAAGCCCUUGGUUUUGUCGUGUCUCGCUCACAUUCUCACCUCGUGUGGGUGUGUUGUGGGAUGCGAACGGCGUGAUGGGGCCUGGGACUUGCAAUUUUUUCCCACAAACGAGGAAUGCCUAGUAGCGGCGGGUCACUGAGCCCACCGUGACUCAGUCCCUGCCCUUUGUACACACCGCCCGUCGCUACUACCGAUUGGGUGUACCAGUGAGAGCCUUGGACUGGCGUCCGUUGUUGCCUUCGG